CGGACGGGUGAGUAAUGUCUGGGAAACUGCCCGAUGGAGGGGGAUAACUACUGGAAACGGUAGCUAAUACCGCAUAACGUCGCAAGACCAAAGAGGGGGACCUUCGGGCCUCUUGCCAUCGGAUGUGCCCAGAUGGGAUUAGCUAGUAGGUGGGGUAACGGCUCACCUAGGCGACGAUCCCUAGCUGGUCUGAGAGGAUGAUCAGCCACACUGGAACUGAGACACGGUCCAG
RNAcentral lists this ribosomal RNA (232 nucleotides) under uncultured bacterium. Its description in RNAcentral is "partial 16S ribosomal RNA". It matches the Rfam family "Bacterial small subunit ribosomal RNA", at positions 99 to 334 of the family's 1533-position model. The record is from RNAcentral.